GUGCUCACUUCGGCAGCACAUGUACUAAAAUUGGAACGAUACAGAGAAGAUUAGCAUGGCCCCUGUGCAAGGAUGAUAUUGCAAAUUUGUGAAGCAUUCCUUAUUUUU
Small nuclear RNA from Otolemur garnettii (small-eared galago), 108 nucleotides. The record is from Ensembl. NCBI's taxonomy places the organism in Eukaryota, Metazoa, Chordata, Mammalia, Primates, Galagidae.